Eriocheir sinensis (Chinese mitten crab) is the source of this 4024-nucleotide RNA transcript. RefSeq lists it as uncharacterized. The transcript has 10 exons. NCBI's taxonomy places the organism in Eukaryota, Metazoa, Arthropoda, Malacostraca, Decapoda, Varunidae. The record is from RefSeq and is a predicted model, not a curated record.
CAACUGCUUCCAGAGGGCUGAAAAUAACACCUUGGAAUAACCUGGGAGACCCGGCGGAGCAGCCCUCGCUUUUGGGACGGGUAUAUAAGGGGGCGCGUCCCGGCGAGGGGCACACACCUCCUCACCCUCUGCAGCGAUGAACACUCGCACCCUGCUGGUGGUGCUGCUGGUGUGCAGCGCCUUGCUGGCCAGCACCGGCGACACCACCACCGAGGCCUCGCCGGUGCCGGAGCCUGAGGCGGGCAGACCAAGACCCAGACCAAGACCCCCACGCUUACCCAGGCCAGAUCGGAGACCAAGACCAGGCCGGGGGUGACCGCCCGCUGAGGCUCUUCCUUCCCUGGGGUGGCUGUGAGUGUCAAGGCUCCUGCAAGUGCUGACCCCUCCACCAUGACCUGACCCGCACGAACACCGCCAACGGACCACGGACCACGGACAACUCUCAUGUUAUGCUUUCACUAUAUUUACUCCUCAAUAAAGGCAUGCAGUUCUCCCGCUAUGUGGCGCCUCAUUACCCUGUGUGGGGACGGGGGACAGCGGUGGGUCCAGGGCCUGGCAGGACCUGGUGGUGACGAGGGAGUGCCUUUGUCACGGACCCUAACACCAUCAUCAGGGAAACUGUAACAACACACCAGGAGAUCUGUAAAUGUACAGCACUGAGCGCCGGGCACUGAACCCGGGCCUCGGGGAUGAAGGCGGAGCACCACACCCACUGAACCACCGGCGUGCUACGGGACCACUGCCAGGUUAAGCGUCCCGGAACCCAUCACUCCGAGGACACAACGCUUGGAAGAACAUUUUGUGUAAUGCAGUGACGACACAGUGGCCGACAAAGCGCAGUACGAGUGUGGCGCCGAGGGAGGCAGGGAUUGGCCUGGUGGCAGAGCGUGCUCGACGCGCUACCCGAGUAAGUAUUCCCGAACAACACGAUGAUAUGCCCGGGGCGGGGCCGCCGCUGUCCACGGUGUCCGCGGGAAAUCCAUUCGGCACGUGCGUCUUGACAAACCACCUGGCACCGGCGCUGUGUCCAGGCGGGUAUAAGAGGCGGCGAAAAUGGAAGUCCCAAACAUUCCCUGGUGACCCACGAAAUGGAGCGACGCACCCUGCUGGUUGUGCUGCUGGUGUGCAGCGUCCUGCUGGCCGUCACCACCCCUGCCGAGGCCUCGCCGUGGCGAGAGACACGCCCCAUAAAGAGGCCCCCCCGACCCUUCCCCAGGCCCCCGAAGAUUCCAGGCUGUGUGUGCGUCACCUACCCGUGCAAAUGCUCCAGCUACGGCUAACGUGACAUUGAUGCCUGACGAAGACUACCACCACCAUCAACAAGAACAAGAACAACAAUACCACCACCACUCCCACCACCACCACCACCUCCACCAACACCCACCACGGAGCAGAACCACCCACCCACUCCUGCUCGCCAAGUCUCGGUCAAUAAAGGCAUAAAGGUUUCCGUGUUUCUGCUUCACCCUCCCGCCAACACCGCCACAAAAACGGAAUUCAACGCCGAGCAAGAAGGAGGUUCACGGCGCCUGCCACGUGACCGCCACCUGUCUCACACCUGUCUUACACUGUCGACAUGCGUGGCGCCCUUGUAUGUUGUCGGCCUUUGAUGUUAAUACUCUUGGGAACGGGGCACCAAACAACACAUAUUUACUUCUUCAAUGCUGAGACCGGAUGAGUUUGUGUGUAUUAAGGAAUAGGGAAAAACAAGGACUCUGAGCGGCCUGGGGCGGCGGUAAAGAGGACGACUCUUAAUAAAGGAAUAGACAAACAUGAAAAAUAAGUACAGGAAGUUUUUUUUCGGGGGGGAGCAAGGCAGAGAAACGAAAGAAGAUGAGAAGUAGAAUUGGUGACGUAGGUGAAUAAUAAUUCUGUAAACAGUAGGAGACGAAGAUGAAAACAAGAUAAAAGAUAAAAAAGUACAAAAGAUCAAAUGAGGGGAAAUAAAGAGAGAGAGAGAGAGAGAGAGAGAGAGAGAGAGAGAGAGAGAGAGAGAGAGAGAGAGAGAGAGAGAGAGAGAGAGAGAGAGAGAGAGAGAGAGAGAGAGAGAGAGAGAGAGAGAGAGAGAGAGAGAGAGAGAGAGAGAGAGAGAGGAAAACCUAACCCCGGCGCACUGGUCAGGUGAGUAUAUGAUGCAAUGCUCAGGUGACAAACACACACACACGCUGCCAGACUCUCGACAGGCAUGGAACGACACGCUCUGCUUUUUGUUCUGCUCGUGUGUGUGUGUCUCUGGGCCGUGACUGAGGCCUUUCCGAGGACAUUUGGCAACCCUGAGCCGAGGCUGAGAAGACCGCUCCGGCCGCAUCAAGCCGGAUGCCUCUGUUUCUACCCCCCAUGCGACUGUGAGUACGACUGGAGGACAUGGUGAUAGAUGGACAGGUGGGAGAGCGGGCAGGUGAGGGGGUCGAGGACACUGAUGGGAGAGCAAGAGUAUGAGGAAGGAAAAAGAGAAGUGUCUGCAUGUUAGUCGCCAUUAAGAAGAUCAGAAAGGUGGACGGGUUGGGUGCAUGAAGACACCGACUAAUGGAUUUAACAAAGAGUAUGAAGAAGCUACAGGAAGAGAGUCUGCGAGUACUUCACCAUCAAGAAGAUCAACAAGAGGAAAGGUGGACAGGUUGGGGGCAUGAAGAGAGACACCGCCUGACAGAUUUAACAAAGGGUAUGAAGAAGCUACUGGUAGAGUCUGCAAGUACUUCAACAUCAAGAUCAACAAGAGUAAAGUUGGAGAGGUUGGGGGAUGAAGAGACAUUAACUUUUUUUUAUUUUUAUAACAAAGGCAACAAAAAGUGUAUCAAAAAAGCCCGCUACUCACCGCUCCCACAACAGACAGAAGUAAAGAGUGGCCAAGAGAGAGGUCAAUUUCGGGUGGAGGUGGAUGGAUUAACUGAUGGAUUAACGUUGGGUAAAAGAGGAUGAAAGGAGAGAGGAGAGAGUGCAAGUUAUUUACCAUCAAGAAGAACAAUGUGAGGAGAUAUGGACAGGAAAGGGAAUCGAGAGACAAUAAAUGAUGGAAUAAGAACGUGUAUUAAGAGACUACAAGAGGAGAUUGUUCAAGUUAUUCCCCAUCAAGAUCAACAGGUGGAGAGAUGAACAGGUGAAGGAACCAAGAAAAACACCCGAAACUGACCUCUCGUUCUGGUCACUACCACCGUUGCCAUAUUAUCGUACCCAGAGCAUAGUAUUUACCGGUUUCUGACGCCUAACUAUUGCCAAGAAACAUCAGGAUCUAUCUCUUUUAACGUAAUUAUAAAUGAGUCUCGUUAUGGGGCCCCAGAAGACAGUUUUGGGGCAGGAAGUCGGGAAAUAUAAGCGGCUGAGCAUGACAAUCUGGCACCGUUGGGCCCACUAGCACGAUUUUUGUUGCUGCUGUCCCUCCCUUGCUGUAAAAAAAAAAAAAAAAAAAAAAAAAAAACUUACUAAUGAAUAAACAAAGGGUGUAAUGAGACUCCAAGAAGAUAUCGUUAGUUAUUCACCAUCACUCACUAUUCAUGCCUCUUGUGUAGUACUGUUAUCGGUUAUUCAUUCGCUCUUCAUUAGUUAUUCCCUCUCUCGUUAUGCGAUCGGACGAUUAAAGAGGAGCUUGUCAAGGAUGUUUGUAUAAAAUAAAAACCGCCUUUUCGUUGCUGUUUCUAUUAUUUGCCCUUGAGUCGCCUCCCUGUGAAAGUCAAGGCCAACAUGCAUUUCCAGAGGCCACAGAGGAGGUGAGUCGGGUUCUUCUGAGUGCUUCUGACCUUCAUGGUGUUCGGGGUGGGAAAAAAGAACAAAGGAUACAGGAAGACGGAAGGACGGUAGAAAAUAGUUGACUGAUGGUGGCUGGAACGUACAGGUGGUAAAAUGAACGUACAGGUGGUAAAAUGAACGUACAGGUGGUAAAAUGAACGUACAGGUGGUGAAAUAAACGUACAGGUGGUAAAAUGAACGUACAGGUGGUAAAAUGAACGUACAGGUGGUAAAAUGAACGUACAGGUGGUAAAAUGAACGUACAGGUGGUGAAAUAAACGUACAGGUGGUGAAAUAAACG